CAAAAAUCCAUACAUUAAAAGCCCGCGGGUCCCUCCAAACAACCACUGAUCCACCUUCUAUUUUAACACCCGCUGGGAAGGACCCGUGAGCAUUCAUACGCCCACUAAAAAGCCACUGGAUCUCUUCUUCUUCUUCUUCCUCUUCUCCUUCUUCUUUAUCCAUUAAGUUCCGAUCACAUAUUUAUAUACUUUUACAUAUCAUCUAAAUUUGA
RNAcentral lists this long non-coding RNA (212 nucleotides) under Elaeis guineensis (African oil palm). Its description in RNAcentral is "long non-coding RNA (EGUI_LNC032879)". The record is from RNAcentral. Lineage: Eukaryota; Viridiplantae; Streptophyta; Magnoliopsida; Arecales; Arecaceae.